This 77-nucleotide transfer RNA is filed under the name Oligoflexales bacterium. RNAcentral describes it as "tRNA-Met". It matches the Rfam family "tRNA". From Rfam's summary of the family: Transfer RNA (tRNA) molecules are approximately 80 nucleotides in length. Their secondary structure includes four short double-helical elements and three loops (D, anti-codon, and T loops). Further hydrogen bonds mediate the characteristic L-shaped molecular structure. tRNAs have two regions of fundamental functional importance: the anti-codon, which is responsible for specific mRNA codon recognition, and the 3' end, to which the tRNAs corresponding amino acid is attached (by aminoacyl-tRNA synthetases). tRNAs cope with the degeneracy of the genetic code in two manners: having more than one tRNA (with a specific anti-codon) for a particular amino acid; and 'wobble' base-pairing, i.e. permitting non-standard base-pairing at the 3rd anti-codon position. Lineage: Bacteria; Pseudomonadati; Bdellovibrionota; Oligoflexia; Oligoflexales. The record is from RNAcentral.
GGCGAGGUAGCUCAGUUGGUAAGAGCGCUGGAUUCAUAACCCAGAGGUCGAGAGUUCGAAUCUCUCUCUCGCUACCA